This 65-nucleotide transfer RNA is filed under the name Scotonycteris bergmansi (Bergmans's fruit bat). Its description in RNAcentral is "tRNA-Pro". It matches the Rfam family "tRNA". From Rfam's summary of the family: Transfer RNA (tRNA) molecules are approximately 80 nucleotides in length. Their secondary structure includes four short double-helical elements and three loops (D, anti-codon, and T loops). Further hydrogen bonds mediate the characteristic L-shaped molecular structure. tRNAs have two regions of fundamental functional importance: the anti-codon, which is responsible for specific mRNA codon recognition, and the 3' end, to which the tRNAs corresponding amino acid is attached (by aminoacyl-tRNA synthetases). tRNAs cope with the degeneracy of the genetic code in two manners: having more than one tRNA (with a specific anti-codon) for a particular amino acid; and 'wobble' base-pairing, i.e. permitting non-standard base-pairing at the 3rd anti-codon position. The record is from RNAcentral. Lineage: Eukaryota; Metazoa; Chordata; Mammalia; Chiroptera; Pteropodidae.
CAAGGAAUAGUUUAAGUAGAAUGUCAGCUUUGGGUGUUGAUGGUGGGGGUUAUCUCCUUCCUUGA